RNAcentral lists this ribosomal RNA (1367 nucleotides) under uncultured bacterium. RNAcentral's name for it is "bacterial SSU rRNA". It matches the Rfam family "Bacterial small subunit ribosomal RNA", at positions 28 to 1388 of the family's 1533-position model. The record is from RNAcentral.
GAUUAACGCUAGCGGCAGGCCUAACACAUGCAAGUCGAGGGGCAGCACGAUGAAGCUUUCGGGCGGAUUUGGUGGCGACCGGCGGACGGGUGCGUAACGCGUAUGCAACCUACCUAUUACAAGGGGAUAACACCGAGAAAUUGGUACUAAUACCCUAUAUGAUUAUUUAAGGCAUCUUAUAUAAUUGAAAGAUUUAUUGGUAAUAGAUGGGCAUGCGUUGUAUUAGCUAGUUGGUGAGGUAACGGCUCACCAAGGCUACGAUACAUAGGGGGACUGAGAGGUUAACCCCCCACACUGGAACUGAGACACGGUCCAGACUCCUACGGGAGGCAGCAGUGAGGAAUAUUGGUCAAUGGACGGAAGUCUGAACCAGCCAUGCCGCGUGCAGGAUGAAUGCUCUAUGAGUUGUAAACUGCUUUUGUAUGAGAGUAAUAACAGAUACGUGUAUCUGGAUGCAAGUACCAUACGAAUAAGGAUCGGCUAACUCCGUGCCAGCAGCCGCGGUAAUACGGAGGAUCCAAGCGUUAUCCGGAUUUAUUGGGUUUAAAGGGUGCGUAGGCGGUUUGAUAAGUUAGAGGUGAAAUUCCGGAGCUCAACUCCGGCGCCGCCUCUAAUACUGUCGAGCUAGAGAUUAGUUGCAGUAGGCGGAAUGUAUGGUGUAGCGGUGAAAUGCUUAGAUAUCAUACAAAACACCGAUUGCGAAGGCAGCUUACUAAGCUAUAUCUGACGUUGAGGCACGAAAGCGUGGGUAGCGAACAGGAUUAGAUACCCUGGUAGUCCACGCAGUAAACGAUGAUAACUCGUUGUCGGCGAUACACAGUCGGUGACUAAGCGAAAGCGAUAAGUUAUCCACCUGGGGAGUACGUUCGCAAGAAUGAAACUCAAAGGAAUUGACGGGGGCCCGCACAAGCGGAGGAACAUGUGGUUUAAUUCGAUGAUACGCGAGGAACCUUACCCGGGCUUGAAAGUUAGUGACGAUUCUGGAAGCAGGAUUUCCCUUCGGGGCACGAAACUAGGUGCUGCAUGGUUGUCGUCAGCUCGUGCCGUGAGGUGUCGGGUUAAGUCCCAUAACGAGCGCAACCCCUACCGUUAGUUGCCAUCAGGUCAUGCUGGGCACUCUGGCGGGACUGCCGGUGUAAGCCGAGAGGAAGGUGGGGAUGACGUCAAAUCAGCACGGCCCUUACGUCCGGGGCUACACACGUGUUACAAUGGUAGGUACAGAGAGUCGCGAUCCAGUGAUGGUUAGCUAAUCUCGAAAGCCUAUCUCAGUUCGGAUUGGAGGCUGAAACUCGCCUCCAUGAAGUUGGAUUCGCUAGUAAUCGCGCAUCAGCCAUGGCGCGGUGAAUACGUUCCCGGGCCUUGUACAC